CUCAUGCUAACAUGCUAGCAAGUCAUUUUCCAGGCAGCAGAGAUGAUAUUGCAGAGUUUGUUUUUGCUCGUUCGGUUAGAGAUGCUGGAGUAGGGGAUCAGAUCCAGGUCAUCCUGAGGGACUCCAGGGUUCCUCUCGCUUCCAUAAAGCUUCCUUUUCAACUCCUCUGGGAUUUGGGGUUAAAGUUCAGGCAUUAUUUGAGCUUUCAAGAUGCUAAUUAGCUGCUGCCACCUUGUUACCAUGGUUACGCAUCAUAACAACUGUUAAAAGUGUAGAAAAAAGAAAAAUCAGAGCUGAAAUAACGGAGCUGCUCCAUCAUGAGUGGACGAUACUCCACAGUAACAUGUCCAGCUCUGCUAAGCCACUUCCUUUGCUGUUGCUGCCUCGUCUCCAACUCCUGGGGAAACUUGGCAGCCAGCGGAGGAAGUCAUAACUCCGGCUCGGUUACAACCCGUCCUAGUUAAAGCACCGAGUUUGGCUCCGUUGGAUGAAACCUGGAAGUGUUCAGAUCAGCUUAGAUGAAAACUUCACAAUCACAGACUUUUCUUUCAGGCAAAAGUUUUGGUCACACACAGACGUCUUCACUGCGUUGUGUGACUCCAGACAGAAGACGCUGCAGCUAAUAUCUGCUAGCCACUGGCAUUAAAUGCCCAUUAAUGCAUUUAAAUGGGCUGGACAAUGUUUAUGCAUAUUCUGUGAAGUCUUAAAUUUCAUUUAUAAUGGUCUUAAAAUGUCUUU
Long non-coding RNA from Gambusia affinis (western mosquitofish), 738 nucleotides. RefSeq lists it as uncharacterized. The record is from RefSeq and is a predicted model, not a curated record. NCBI's taxonomy places the organism in Eukaryota, Metazoa, Chordata, Actinopteri, Cyprinodontiformes, Poeciliidae. The transcript has 3 exons.